CGGAAUCUGCCUAUUUGUGGGGGAUAACGUAGGGAAACUUACGCUAAUACCGCAUACGACCUACGGGUGAAAGCGGAGGACCUUCGGGCUUCGCGCAGAUAGAUGAGCCGAUGUCGGAUUAGCUAGUUGGCGGGGUAAAGGCCCACCAAGGCGACGAUCCGUAGCUGGUCUGAGAGGAUGAUCAGCCACACUGGAACUGAGACACGGUCCGGACUCCUACGGGAGGCAGCAGUGGGGAAUAUUGGACAAUGGGCGCAAGCCUGAUCCAGCCAUGCCGCGUGGGUGAAGAAGGCCUUCGGGUUGUAAAGCCCUUUUGUUGGGAAAGAAAAGCAGUCGGUUAAUACCCGAUUGUUCUGACGGUACCCAAAGAAUAAGCACCGGCCAACUUCGUGCCAGCAGCCGCGGUAAUACGAAGGGUGCAAGCGUUACUCGGAAUUACUGGGCGUAAAGCGUGCGUAGGUGGUUUGUUAAGUCUGAUGUGAAAGCCCUGGGCUCAACCUGGGAAUUGCAUUGGAUACUGGCAGGCUAGAGUGCGGUAGAGGGUAGUGGAAUUCCCGGU
Molecule: ribosomal RNA, 559 nt
Filed under: uncultured bacterium
Lineage: Bacteria
Description: bacterial SSU rRNA
Rfam family: Bacterial small subunit ribosomal RNA
Source: RNAcentral